Molecule: small RNA, 2524 nt
Filed under: Pongo abelii (Sumatran orangutan)
Lineage: Eukaryota; Metazoa; Chordata; Mammalia; Primates; Hominidae
Description: retained intron
Source: RNAcentral
AGACUAACUGGCCAGAGCAGAGGGAGGGGAGCUUAGGCUAUAGGCUCUGCUCGGGGGUCCAACUGAAGCAAGAGGCACUGAGGUUAGACCAGAGUGAGGACUUCCAGCCACUCACCCAGGGGCCAGCUGAUAAGGGGAUCACUCAUUAGGAAACCAAGAGCUCAAGGGAUUGGGUCAGCCCAGCAGGAGACAAAGGCACAGAGGGGAAUGGCCUGAGGGUGCCUGGGGCUGGAAUCAGAGGCAGCGGCGGAGCCAAGCAGGCCUACCUGGCUCUCUGCGAGCCCCCUGCCCCACACUGCCCAGGGCAGCCCCCGCCCGGCCCCUACCCUCCUCACACUUGGUUCUACCCUGCCCACAGCACCUGAGGAUGCCCUCUUCCAAGUCAGGCGGCCCUGCACCUCAGGACCCCUCCCCGCUGUGAAGAACCUGCUCAAACCAGGUUCAGCCAGGCCACCUCCUGCUGCCCCUCACCAAGGCCAGCCUGACGGGCCCAUCACCCGCUCCUGCAAAGCUGGGUAGGGCUCAGGGUGCCCCCAGCCCUAAGGGACCCUCGGAAAUAGGCUGGAGCCCAGAUGCUCAGCCUCUGCGUCUCGGGGUGACCUUCCUCCCAAAGGGAGUUGCCCAGCUCUCACGGGCCAGCAGUUCCGGCCACAAGGUGGGGCUCCUGCAGCCCUGCCCCCCGCAUCCCCUCCUCCCCCAGGAGAGAGUUCCCCGUCACCAGAGGCAGUGCUGUCCGAGAGCUGGACCAGCCUCUGGUUGUUGGAGACGAAGGCCUGGUGGCUGGCCGGCCACAGGAAGCGGUGGGCCUCAGUGGGAUAGAAAAGAUGGGGCAUCCACCAGACUCUCCCAGUGCCCCGGCCCCAGCUGGCACCACAGCUAUACCUGGGCUUAUUCCAGACCUUGUCGCCGGGACCCCCUGGCCCCGCUGGGCUCUCAUUGCUGGCACCCUUGCCGCGGGCGUCCUCCUCGUCUCCUGCCUCCUCUGUGCUGCCUGCUGCUGCUGCCGCCGCCACAGGAAGAAGCGCAGGGACAAGGAGGCCGUGGGCCUGGGCAGUGCCCGAGGCACCACCACCACCCACCUGGUGCAACCUGAUGUGGAUAGCCUGGAGUCCAGCCCGGGGGGUGCUCAGCAAUGGGGGCGCCUGCAGCUCUCCCUGGAGUACGACUUUGGAAGCCAGGAGGUAAAGGGCCCCACUGCGCAGGACCAGCGAUUCUGCGAGUUUCCAGAAAGGGUGAUGGGGGAAGGGCAGACCCUGUGCCCUGGGUAGUGGGGAGCUGACAGGGCAGGGGCCCUUGGCUGAGCCCACCCCCCUGGCUGAGCCCACCCCCCUGGCUCCCAGAUCAGGGUGGGCCUGAGGCAGGCAGCCGACCUGGGGCCUGGGGGCACCGUGGACCCCUAUGCCCGGGUCAGCAUCUCCACCCAGGCCGGACACAGACAUGAGACAAAAGUGCACCGAGGCACGCUCUGCCCCGUGUUUGACGAGACCUGCUGCUUCCACGUGAGUCAGGGAUGGUCGGCUGGGUGGGCCUGGACGGCUGGUUGGGCCUGGGCUGGGUGGGCCUGGGCAGCUGGGUGGGCCUGAGCUAGGGCAACAGGGCCUGGCUCACACAGCUGCCUCAGAUCCCGCAGGCAGAGCUGCCAGGGGCCACCCUGCAGGUGCAGCUUUUCAACUUCAAGCGCUUCUCGGGGCAUGAGCCCCUGGGUGAGCUCCGCCUGCCACUGGGCACCGUGGAUCUGCAGCAUGUUCUGGAGCACUGGUACCCGCUGGGCCCGCCGGCUGCCACCGAGGUGAGGCGCUGGUCACCAGGCCACAGCCCAAGGCACAGCUGGCAGGGGCUCUGCCCUAUGGGCCAUUGGAAAGACUGAGGCCUGAUGGGCAGCAGCUGCGGGGGCCUGAACCCCAGCUUGGCCAGAAUCACCCUCCCGGGCUGAAGCCCCUCUUGCUGCCCACAGCCCGAGCAGGUCGGGGAGCUGUGCUUCUCUCUCCGGUACGUGCCCAGCUCAGGCCGGCUGACCGUGGUGGUGCUGGAGGCUCGAGGCCUGCGUCCAGGACUGGCAGAGCCGUACGUGAAGGUCCAGCUCAUGCUGAACCAGAGGAAGUGGAAGAAGAGAAAGACAGCCACCAAAAAGGGCACGGCGGCCCCCUACUUCAAUGAGGCCUUCACCUUCCUGGUGCCCUUCAGCCAGGUCCAGAAUGUGGACCUGGUGCUGGCUGUCUGGGACCACGGCCUUCCGCUCCGGGCUGAGCCCGUGGGCAAGGUGCACCUGGGUGCCCGGGCCUCGGGGCAGCCCCUGCAGCACUGGGCAGACAUGCUGGCCCACGCCCGGCGGCCCGUCGCCCAGUGGCACCCCCUGCGGCCAGCCAGGGAGGUGGACCGCGUGCUGGCCCUGCAGCCCCGCCUGCGCCUGCGCCUGCCCUUGCCCCACUCCUGAAUGCACCACGUGCCUCUGUCUCCCCGCUGGGCCCAGGCACUUGCUCAGGCCGCCCUGCAGGACCACUGCAAUAAACGCCUUCUCCUGCCA